GGAGUUUCGUAUAUCCAAUCGUGGUAAGCGGCAAUUGCUCGUCUACAAAGGUUACACGUUUGCCUCAAUGGGCAAUCGAGAACGGUGGUAUUGCUCGAGGAAAAAUAAAGGCUGUAAAACUCGGGUUAUCUUAGUUGACAAUUCAGUUAAGGCUGUUGGAGUUCAUAAUCAUACACCUCCUAAAUUAUUUAGAACAUGGUGAUGGAGGCAGGACAACUUCUUAAAAGUGUGAUUUGGAUUGAUGUAAAGUUUAUUCGGAGUCGACGAGGAAACGGUCGCUUACUGCUGUAUAAAGGACACACUUAUGUUACAAUGAGGACAAAGAACAGAUGGUAUUGCUCUAAGAAAGCAAAGGGGUGCAAAGCCAAGUUAACGGUUAUAGGAUCGUACGUGGAGCAAUGUGGUACACACGAUCAUUCCCCACCAGUCCUGUAUACGGCUUCUGACGGGACGAUACAUAAAUGUAGAUAGCAAUUUCAGCUGUUCUCGUCAAAAGAAACACAAUUAAGGUAAUUGACUCCUGCAGGUAGGUCAGUAGCCCGUUCAAUAGGUAGGUACCUACUUUUGUGAUAAAUAUGUGUUAUAUUUUCUUUUAUAUCUGAAAGUACACCACUUUGGUUAGUGACGAAUCACAUUGAAAGCAGAUACUUUAAAGAUGUUCUAUUUGUCUCAAUAAACUAAUUUGAUAAGA
Long non-coding RNA from Colias croceus (clouded yellow), 691 nucleotides. RefSeq lists it as uncharacterized. The record is from RefSeq and is a predicted model, not a curated record. Lineage: Eukaryota; Metazoa; Arthropoda; Insecta; Lepidoptera; Pieridae. The transcript is spliced from 2 exons.